UAGGGAGGGUGCAAGCAUUGAUCGGAAUUACUGGGCGUAAAGGGCGCGUAGGCGGCCGAAAAAGUCAGAUGUGAAAUUCCAGGGCUCAACCCUGGAGCUGCAUUUGAAACUUUUCGGCUAGAGUGCAAUUAGGGAAAACGGAAUUCCACGUGUAGCGGUGAAAUGCGUAGAUAUGUGGAAGAACACCGGUGGUGAAGACGGUUUUCUGGGUUGUAACUGACGCUGAGUCGCGAAAGCUAGGGGAGCAAACAGG
This 253-nucleotide ribosomal RNA is filed under the name uncultured bacterium. Its description in RNAcentral is "partial 16S ribosomal RNA". It matches the Rfam family "Bacterial small subunit ribosomal RNA", at positions 524 to 776 of the family's 1533-position model. The record is from RNAcentral.